Portunus trituberculatus (swimming crab) is the source of this 6936-nucleotide long non-coding RNA. RefSeq lists it as uncharacterized. The transcript is spliced from 4 exons. The record is from RefSeq and is a predicted model, not a curated record. Lineage: Eukaryota; Metazoa; Arthropoda; Malacostraca; Decapoda; Portunidae.
CGAUUUCCGACCCGCGUAUGUGUCUUCACGCCUGUAAGGGGAGGGCUCGCCUUGUCCAAGUGACUGCAAGGCGCUCUGUUAGGAAAGGAAGUGAGCGGCCUGCACGUGCUGGUGAUCGUCCUGGCGGCCGUGCUGGUGACGGCCCUGCUGUCUUGCGUGUUGGGCCACUCUAAGAUGGGCGCCAGGCUCUGGUCCCAUCGACGGUCCGCCCGCGCCGCCCACACAACCCCCGCCUCUCGCCACACCCACACCACCAUCAUCACGCCCACCACCUUCACACAUUCGGUAAGGCAGGAUGCAAGGCGAGUCGGGCGGGGCAGUACCGGUAAGUGCCUGACACCUGUCUUUCCUCACUGUCUCAGAUACUGAUCAGCCCUAUAGCGGAAGACAUCAGCAACUCCCUCUUUACCAUCCUUGACUACCUCGUGUUGGGUUCAAGGGCCUGAGUAAGCUGGAAUCUGGAUACUUUUUUCGAAGAACGUUGCGGGACGGGAGUACUAAACGAAAGAGUAGCCGUGCUUACUUUCGAGGUGAGGGUGGGACUGACAGAUGGGGAGUGCAGGGAAAGUAGGUAGGAAGAGCAAUAGAAGCGUUUGGGUGGGUAAGUAGGUGGAUGGGUGGGGUAGGACGGGCUGUAUGUCGUGCGUCUGGGUGGGUGAAGUGUGUUGGUAGGGUAGGGAGUGGUGUUGGCGGCUAAAGGUGUGUCUGGGUGCUACAUGUGUUGUCGGAGUAGGCAAGGUGCUGUAAAUACCUCGUCUGACCCAGAUGAUGAAGGGAUCACCCAGACGACAUUCAAACUUGUCUGGCUCUUUUCACAAUUCGUGAAGGAAAUAACAUGUAUAGCAAUGUAAUAAGGAAAGCCUCACUAUAAAAUACAGUCAAACUAAGACCCAUGAAGGGAGGGGGACGGGGAAUUAACGUGGAGUCUUUUCAAAACCAAAUAAGUGUGGUUUGAUUAAAUAAUUCAUAUUAAUUCAUAUAACUUUUACUUCAUUGUGACCUACCAUACUACUUGUACCUACAUAUAUGAUUCUACAAAUUGCAUAGAUAUAUUUUAGGUAUUUUUUUGGAAUUUGCUUCUGUAUCUCAUGCGAGCAGAACAUCAACAACAGCAUAAUUGCACAAACAGACUGACAAAAAAAAAAAAAAUAUACUGGAAAUGAACCAUUACUGAUUUUAAAACACAGUCGUGGUGAUGACGUAAGCAGGACUAUUUUCAACAAUUGGCUUAACCGCCAUGACACCUUACAGGCAGACGUCCACCUCACCCCUGCUAGAGAGAGAGAGAGAGAGAGAGAGAGAGAGAGAGAGAAACGUAAACAAAGAUAAUGAAAAUGAAAUGAUAAAGGGCACCAGUUGGUAAGUGAUAGCAAUGGAAAAAAUAAUCGAGUGACAAACAAACACACACACACACACACACACACACACACACACACACACACACACACAAAAAAAAAAAAAAAAAAAAAUCAAGUGGGAAGAGUCAAGAUGAAACAAAAGUGGUGGAAAACAGCUGAUCUGGAGAGUAGAGGUUUGCUGUAGCUACUGGUGUAAGGAAACAGUGAAAGAAACCAUUUCAACAAAACACUAAUGUUGCAUGACUGGGACGGAAUGAGAACAGAGCGGGGGACGUGGAGCCCGAAAUAAGUAAAUACACACCCUUGAGCUUCCGUCGAAAAAGCAGGAAAAAAAGAAAAAGCAAGCAGAGGCAGCUGGGUGUUGUGAAGAGGAGGGAGGUUGCCAAAUGUUCCUGCAGUCUACCUGAAGGAGUUUUGAUAGGGGUAGUGAAGGGGAAGGCGAAACAGAGACCGCCGCAGCUCCCCUAGUUAAGAGCUUUAUGGUGUGUGAGCCGCGGGAGACAGUGGCAUAGAUCACGGCAGGUUAGAAGUAUCGAUUAUAUUUAAAGCUGCCGCGGCGUUCACCUCCUGAUAACACAGUCUUCCCACCGGCUUGUUUUCCGGGGCCACCGCAGCAGCGCUGUUGCCGCCGCUGCUGAGAUUGUAGCUCCCCCGCGUCCAGAAUGACCUGCUAAUUGUUACCACCGACAUGUUAAUGAGCUUAAUCUAUCCGAGUAGAAGUAAUUAGUUUGCAGGCGGCUGAGUUUAUUAGGUUCACGACACCCGCUUUUUGGAGCCGGUGGUGGCAGCGGGAGUGGCGGUGCCGGAGCAGCGACGUGUGGCAACUCUAGUGAUGAUGCAACACCAGACCAUGACGUCACUUGUGGCUCAGACAACCCCAAGGACCUUGCCGGGUGAGAGAGAGAGAGAGAGAGAGUGUGUUUUCGUUACUUCUGUUCACAUUUCUACUACGACCCACACCUCCAGCCCCCCACCCUGCCUUAGUACUUUUCUUUCUUUUAGCCUUCGUUCUCUUCCAUCUGAACCCCUGCCGCUUGACUUUUACCUCUAUUGCCCACUCACCUCUCCUCUUUUCCUCCUCCUUCUUUUGAUCUUUUCCUCUUCCUCCUUGUCCUCUUCCUUGCCAGGCUCCUCCUCCUCCUCCUCCUCCUCCUCCUCCUCCUCCUCCUCCUCCUCUCUAGGGUUUCAUUACACUCUCCUCCUCUUACUUAAGCAAAGAAACGUGCAGGAGUGCGAACGUUCAUGAAAUUAUUAAAAUGACGCCGAGUCGCUGUGGCCAUCUCUCCAGGGCUUGGUGUGGAUCGGAACUAAUUACCGCGCUGCAAAACUUUUCACCUGCGUGUGGCGAGAAUUCGAUGUUGCAGGGCAGGGGAGUGUGUGUGUGUGUGUGUGUGUGUGUGUGUGUGUGUGUGUGUGUGUGUGUGUGUGUGUGUGUGUGUGUGUGUUUUCUUUUAGUGGGUGAGAUGUAUCCACGUAUUGUGCUUCAUAUACCGAAGAUAAGGGGAGAUUAAGUAGAAAUGCAUUUUCAGUGUGCGCGUGUGUGCGUGUGCGCGCGCGCGUGAAGGGCGUGUGCUGAGAUUGGGGAGGUAAGGUGGAGGGUAAGGUGGUACGUGGGGAAGAGGGCGAGCCAGACUAGACUCAACAGUUUACUUCAGCUGCUCCGCGACUGCUCCAGCACCUGCUUCGAAUCCGGUUCUUGUGACCUUGGUUCGAGCCACCGUCAUGACGACCAGAUUUGGCGAGGCGACUUCCCGUUGUCGCUCCACGGCGUUGCCUUGAGGUCAUGCGUGCUGGGAACACAAUUUUGUACGUGAUGCAUACGAAUAUUUCCAGGGUGAAUUUGGCCUUCGAUGAAGUGUGGGUGGAAGUUUAGUAAAUUCCUGUUGAUUUUUCGGGUUGGAAAUCGUACCAGCUUUGUCACAGCUGUAGCAGAGGAUUUUUUCUUCUCUCUUUUUCUCACUGUCGUCUUUCGCUCAAAUAAAUAUUUUCCCGUUAUGCCUCGGACACGGAAGCGAACAACCUUUAGAUAGGGAACGAGUGACUCACUGAAAGAUAAGGCUUCCGUGCCGAGCUGUCACAAGACGUUUCUAAAUAUCACAAUGAUGUUCUCCUGUUUUAAAUUUUUCUGAAUGUUAUCCGCUCGUACUGUGAAAUUUAUUCUCCAACGUAAUCGUUUAUUUUUAAGGUUUCACGAAAAGAAUAGAGGUUUAAUUUUUGGCUUAGGUAAUCAGAUUUGUAAUGACCUAAUGGCUUUCUUCUUCCUGUGGACGUCGCCUUGACACAACGCACGAGUGUUGCUGGGCUGUGGUGGGCGGCCUUCGUGAGGACGCUUACAAGCACGUCUCGCCAUGUAUAGAAAGUAUUAUACAUUAGUAAAAGACCAGUGUAAUGUACGAAUAAACGAUGAACUUUUAACGACCAUUAAAACUCGUACCCAAUCACUCACUCACAUUCAACAUAUACAAACUUACUGCAAUAUGUAAAAUCCUGGAGUUGAUAUUAUAGAUUAUGAAAGUGUUCAGCCAUGAUCAGUAGAAUGAUGAAUUUCUCUUAAGUCAUAAAUGUUUUGAUUGCAACCUUGGGAAGCGCGUGAGUGACACUGAAGGAUAAGAGGGUCAGAGGUCAUCCCGCCUGGAUGCCUCGCCCUCGUGAGUCAAGUAUGAAGACGCGGGGAGGUGCGGAGGCCGUUAGAGUGGUUAGCUGGGAGGUAGACGAAAAAGAAAAAAAAAUGAACAAGACAUGUGAAGGUGACAGACCGUUUAUGAAAUGCCACCACCAUCACUACAGAGAAUAACAACAGUAACUAACUACCACUUAUAAUAACAGCAACUACUACUACUACUACUACUACGACUACGACUACUGCUGCUGCUUCUGCUUCUGCUUCUGCUUCUGCUGCUGCUGCUGCUGCUUCUGCUAAUAAUGUUAAUAAUAAUAAUUAAUAAUAAUAAUAAUCAUAAUUACUGCGGACGGAACUGAGCUGCCGCCACACUACACUGGCCAUCACCAACUUCCUCUUCCCGCCAGCUUUGGGGAGGUGGAAGGAGGGAGUAAGGAAGGAGGAAGGGAGGGAGGGAGGAAAGGAGGAGGUCUAGGCAAGGCAAGCCGACGCCCCAGCAUAUAUUUGGCCUCACUGAACUAGUGCCUCGCCCGCCCUUCCACGAUCCUCUCCAGGUGCCACGCGUUACCCCCUCACCCCCAACACACCAGGUGGCAUCGCAACCCUGUCACGUUCACUGUACAUACAGAAACACCCCUUUAUUCCAGGACCUCAAACUACACUUUCGUAUGAUACUGUAUUGUUCGUCUCUUUAGCUGCUGUAUAUUCUGUGGUAGGUUAGGUUUGGUGAGGUGAGAUUAAGUUAGCUUAGCUUAGGUUAGGUCAGGUAAUAGCAAGCGUUCCUUCUAAUUGUGCGUGAAAAGAUGGAUGGGUGAAGGAUGGUGAGUAUCAGAAGCUUAUCUGCUCCUCUGAUAAACACACACACACACACACACACACACACACACGCACACAGAGAGAGAGAGAGAGAGAGAGAGAGAGAGAGAGAGAGAGAGAGAUUGUUCAUUCUACUGUUUUGUGUCUUUUAUCUCUGAUCCGUGUCUUUCUCUCUUUCUUUUCCGUCCUGUCAUUGUGCUUUUGUCCUUUGUCUCUCUCUCUCUCUCUCUCUCUCUCUCUCUCUCUCUCUCUCUCUCUCUCUCUCUCUCUCUCUCUGAAUCUCCUUCAGUCCACCGCCUCCUAUAAGUCCCUCGAUUAGUCCUCCACCUUCUGCCGCCUUUGUCCGGACCGUCACCUCCUGCCUUGCCUCCUCCUCCUCCCUCUUCCUCCUCCUCCUCUUCCUUCACACAGCUUACAUUGCCUCACUCCCUUCCUUCCUCUGCUCCCCUCCACAUUUUUCUCUCACCGUGCACUCAAUGGAGAUGAAAAAUGGGAUACAUUAAUACAUAAUACAGGCACACAUAAAUCUUCAGUAUCCCCUCCCUCUUCUCUUCUCUUUUCUGGGCAUGCUCUUGUCUCUCUCUCUCUCUCUCUCUCUCUCUCUCUCUCUCUCUCUCUCUCUCUCUCUCUCUCUCUCUCUCUCUCUCUCUCUCUCUCUCUCUCUCUCUCUCUCUCUCUCUCUCUCUCUCUCUCUCUCUCUCUCUCUCUCUCUCUCUCAUUGUACUCAUCUCUAUGCAAUUAAAUUUCAUCUGAGCCACGCCUUGUCUUUCACUCUCUCCCCGUGCAUUUUGCAGCGUCGCUGCAGAGGCCUAUAAGAGAUGGACGACCGAGGGGUGGUGCCCGGUGAGGCAUGGCCACGACAGAAGGAUUUCGUCUGGGAGGGUUGCAACACACACUCCCGAAGUUCUAGUUAAGCCUACUCUGACAACGAGGCUCAAAAAGAGGCUUGGAAGAAAGGAAACUAGUGUGAGCUAGCGACACUUCGAGAGCAGGAGAGGGUACGGGGUAAAGCAACGUUUCAUGAAAACUUGCCUAGACUAAGAAAGACGGAGAGGAUGAGGCGGAGAAUAGGAUAAAGGCAGAGCAGAGAAUGGCAGCUGAAUGGGGAGGGUUCAGAAUGAGCUUUCUCAGAGGGAACUCUUCUCAAUGAUGCAUUUCGCCACACGCCGCCUGGAGUCGCAAACGGAGGCCUAGAGCAGGAGGAGGGGGAGGAGAAGGAAGAGUGAGAGACAAGCAGCUGGCGUCCUCAAAAUCUAGUGGACAGUUUCUGGGACCAGUCAAGCCUCGCCUCUAGGGUCGCAUGGCGUGUCACGGAGGAUGACUACUGGCUGCCGGUACCUGGCCAUGACCUCGCCACGCAGCCAGGGAGGGAAAGUCGCGGUGGGUGCGAUCUCAGCGUCAAUGUGAACCUCGUUUGAAUACACCGACGAACAGGUCAAGGCACAUGGUUCGAAACAAGAGGUCUAGGCACCCCGUGGGGGCUGGUCAGAGAGAGACAAGGCAAGGCUAACCAAAUGACAGGCGGUACAGUGCAACCUUUUCAACUUACCUUGGCCUUUAUUGACACACACACACACACACACACACACACACACACACACACACACACACACACACACACACACACACACACACACACACACACACACACACACACAGAGUACUAACAUGAGUAACUUACUUAGUGAAGCUUGUCAAAAACACGGCACCAAAUCACACAAGCAAUAAUGGAAACAAACGAGGUGCAGUGAGGCUGCCAGUGUGAGGCUGUGGUAAGUGUGCCCUCACUGCAUGGCUGCUCCGUCAGGGAGAAACGACUUGUCAGUUGCUCCUGGGUGAGGCCGAUGCUUGGUGACCUCUGUAGUGGCCGUGACCCGCAUCGCUCUCCGCGGCGCCCACCAGUAAGGAAUGUUCUCCUCCGUAUUUUUACAACAUGAAUAAAAACCUCUUUCGGGAGGGGCAGGUCAUCAACCCCUACAUCAACUGGUCUUUUACGUAGGGACCCACAAAGGCUCUCGCUGCAUCGGCUGGCCCUACCCCGCUCACCCCCCUUUCUCUCUCUCUCUCUCUCUCUCUCUCUCUCUCUCUCUCUCUCUCUCUCUCUCUCUCUCUCUCUCUCUCUCUCUCUCUCUCUCUCUCUCU